GCGCGUGGCCUAGCCAGGAUAUGGCGGCAGCCUCCUAAGCUGUAAAUCGCGGGUUCGAAUGCAUGUGGUGCA
RNAcentral lists this transfer RNA (72 nucleotides) under Thermoplasmata archaeon. RNAcentral's name for it is "tRNA-Arg". RNAcentral also lists the same sequence under 1 other name. Lineage: Archaea; Methanobacteriati; Thermoplasmatota; Thermoplasmata. The record is from RNAcentral.